CACCUAAUAGCUAGCCCCCUCCCCAAAAACAAAAAAUAACUAUCAAUACCCCCUAACAUACUCAAUCAACCAAAACAAACCAUUUUUCCCCCUAAGUAUGGGCGACAGAAAAGGACCUAAGAGCUACAGAUAAAGUACCGCAAGGGAACGCUGAAAGAGAAAUGAAACAACCCAGUUUAAGUACAAAAAAGCAGAGAUUAAACCUCGUACCUUUUGCAUCAUGAUUUAGCCAGCAAACCUUAGGCGAAGAGCACUUUAGUCUAAUUCCCCGAAACUGAGCGAGCUACUCCAAGACAGCCUAUAUAGGGCACAUCCGUCUCUGUGGCAAAAGAGUGGAAAGAGCUUUGAGUAGAGGUGACAAACCUACCGAGCCCAGUAAUAGCUGGUUGCCCGAAAAUUGAGUUUAAGCUCAGCUUUUUAGCUUCUUAGCUCACCAACCGUAUAAAACACAACCGAUUUUAAGAAACUAAAAAAGUUAGUCAAAGGGGGUACAGCCCCUCUGACCCAAGAAACAACUUUCACAGGAGAAUAAGGAUCAUAAUAACCAAGGCCACGUGUUUAGGUGGGCCUAAAAGCAGCCACCCUACCGAAAGCGUUAAAGCCCAAACACACACGCGCCACUAAUACCGAUAAAUACAUCCUAACCCCUGAUCUUUAUCGGGCCUUUCUAUGCACCCAUAGAAGAGACUAUGCUAAUAUGAGUAAUAAGGGGCCAGACCCCCUCCAAGCACAAGUGUACAUCGGAACGAACUCACACCGAAGACUAACGAACCCAACCAAAGAGGGUAAUGAAUACUAAACCAAAAACAAGAAAAACAUUCACAACCCCGCCGUUAACCCCACACUGGUGUGCCUAAUUGGAAAGACUUAAAGAAAAAGAAGGAACUCGGCAAACCUACAAGGCCUUCGCCUGUUUACAAAAAACAUCGCCUCUUGCAAAAACAACGAAUAAGAGGUCCCGCCUGCCCUGUGACUAUACGUUUAACGGCCGCGGUAUUUUGACCGUGCAAAGGUAGCGCAAUCACUUGUCCUUUAAAUGGGGACCUGUAUGAAUGGCACGACGAGGGCUUAACUGUCUCCUUUUUCAAGUCAAUGAAAUUGAUCUUUCCGUGCAGAAGCGGGAAUAAAGACAUAAGACGAGAAGACCCUAUGGAGCUUUAGACAUAAAACAGAUCACGUCAAACACCCUUAGAAAAAAGAACAAACUAAGUGAGCCCUGUUCAAAUGUCUUUGGUUGGGGCGACCGCGGGGCAACAAAAAACCCCCAUGUGGAAUAAAAACACCCUUUUUAAAACUAAGAGCCACCGCUCUAAUGAACAGAACAUCUGACCAACCAGAUCCGGCCUAGCCGAUCAACGAACCGAGUUACCCUAGGGAUAACAGCGCAAUCCUCUUUUAGAGCCCAUAUCGACAAGAGGGUUUACGACCUCGAUGUUGGAUCAGGACAUCCUAAUGGUGCAGCCGCUAUUAAGGGUUCGUUUGUUCAACGAUUAAAGUCCUACGUGAUCUGAGUUCAGACCGGAGUAAUCCAGGUCAGUUUCUAUCUAUGAAGUGCCCUUUUCUAGUACGAAAGGACCGAAAAGGAGAGACCCCUGCCAAAAGCACGUCCCCCUCUCACCCGUUGUCUCCAACUAAAACAGACAAGAGAGCACGCAACAACAGCCAAAGAACAUGACAU
This 1678-nucleotide ribosomal RNA is filed under the name Tetraodon biocellatus (eyespot pufferfish). RNAcentral describes it as "16S rRNA". The stretch from base 107 to 1565 matches the Rfam family "Bacterial large subunit ribosomal RNA". Lineage: Eukaryota; Metazoa; Chordata; Actinopteri; Tetraodontiformes; Tetraodontidae. The record is from RNAcentral.